GUGCUCACUUCAGCAGCACAUAUACUAAAAUUUGAACAAUACAGAGAUUAGCUUGGCCCCUACACAAGGAUGACACAUUAAAAAAAAAAAAGACAAAUGAACAU
This is a small nuclear RNA of Pteronotus mesoamericanus, 104 nucleotides long. Lineage: Eukaryota; Metazoa; Chordata; Mammalia; Chiroptera; Mormoopidae. The record is from RefSeq and is a predicted model, not a curated record.